GAUGAACGCUGGCGGCGUGCCUAAUACAUGCAAGUCGAGCGAACAGACGAGGAGCUUGCUCCUCUGACGUUAGCGGCGGACGGGUGAGUAACACGUGGAUAACCUACCUAUAAGACUGGGAUAACUUCGGGAAACCGGAGCUAAUACCGGAUAAUAUAUUGAACCGCAUGGUUCAAUAGUGAAAGACGGUUUUGCUGUCACUUAUAGAUGGAUCCGCGCCGCAUUAGCUAGUUGGUAAGGUAACGGCUUACCAAGGCAACGAUGCGUAGCCGACCUGAGAGGGUGAUCGGCCACACUGGAACUGAGACACGGUCCGGACUCCUACGGGAGGCAGCAGUAGGGAAUCUUCCGCAAUGGGCGAAAGCUUGACGGAGCAACGCCGCGUGAGUGAUGAAGGUCUUCGGAUCGUAAAACUCUGUUAUUAGGAAGAACAAAUGUGUAAGUAACUAUGCACGUCUUGACGGUACCUAAUCAGAAAGCCACGGCUAACUACGUG
RNAcentral lists this ribosomal RNA (496 nucleotides) under uncultured bacterium. RNAcentral describes it as "partial 16S ribosomal RNA". It matches the Rfam family "Bacterial small subunit ribosomal RNA", at positions 28 to 507 of the family's 1533-position model. The record is from RNAcentral.